CUAGGAUUACUCACUGGUUGGCUUGGAAGCUUUCCUUCCUCUCGCUUGUUCAGUGCAUUAGCUCGUUGCCCCAUUUGGGAUUCUAGCUUGGCGAUAGAUUGCGUGUGAGAGUGCACCAAUUGUGUAAUGGUUUCCAAACCUUGAAGAGCGGUCAACACUUUCUCCUCAAAGGCUGUGUUUCUUUGGGGUGGAGGAGGAUUGUGUUGAAAUUGAGUCGAGGGACGGUAGGGAUGAAUAUCUUGUGGGGUUUGAAAAUUUUGGGAGUAGGGUUGGGCAGUAUUCGAAGCUUGCUGCUUCCAAGAAAAGUUUGGAUGAUUCCGCCAUCCCGGGUUAUAUGUAUUGGAAAAUGGAUCAUUACCCGG
RNAcentral lists this long non-coding RNA (362 nucleotides) under Phoenix dactylifera (date palm). RNAcentral's name for it is "long non-coding RNA (PDAC_LNC010678)". Lineage: Eukaryota; Viridiplantae; Streptophyta; Magnoliopsida; Arecales; Arecaceae. The record is from RNAcentral.